RNAcentral lists this ribosomal RNA (503 nucleotides) under uncultured bacterium. Its description in RNAcentral is "bacterial SSU rRNA". It matches the Rfam family "Bacterial small subunit ribosomal RNA", at positions 8 to 526 of the family's 1533-position model. The record is from RNAcentral.
AGAGUUUGAUCAUGGCUCAGGACGAACGCUGGCGGCGUGCUUAACACAUGCAAGUCGAACGGUGAAGCCCUUCGGGGUGGAUCAGUGGCGAACGGGUGAGUAACACGUGGGCAAUCUGCCCUGCACUCCGGGAUAACACCGGGAAACCGGUGCUAAUACCGGAUAUGACUCCGGAGCGCAUGCUUCGGGGUGGAAAGUUCCGGCGGUGCAGGAUGAGCCCGCGGCCUAUCAGCUUGUUGGUGGGGUGACGGCCUACCAAGGCGACGACGGGUAGCCGGCCUGAGAGGGCGACCGGCCACACUGGGACUGAGACACGGCCCAGACUCCUACGGGAGGCAGCAGUGGGGAAUAUUGCACAAUGGGCGCAAGCCUGAUGCAGCGACGCCGCGUGAGGGAUGACGGCCUUCGGGUUGUAAACCUCUUUCAGCAGGGAACAAGCUUUCGGGUGAGGGUACCUGCAGAAGAAGCACCGGCUAACUACGUGCCAGCCGCCGCGGUAAUAC